GUUGGCUUUCGGCGACAGGACGACGUACUGGUCGCUGGUGUUGACCAGUUCGGCGUACAGGACCGGGCGCUCGAUCUCGUCGAGCAGGCGGCGC
This 94-nucleotide transfer RNA is filed under the name Achromobacter aegrifaciens. Its description in RNAcentral is "tRNA-Thr". Lineage: Bacteria; Pseudomonadati; Pseudomonadota; Betaproteobacteria; Burkholderiales; Alcaligenaceae. The record is from RNAcentral.